This 493-nucleotide ribosomal RNA is filed under the name uncultured bacterium. RNAcentral's name for it is "partial 16S ribosomal RNA". It matches the Rfam family "Bacterial small subunit ribosomal RNA", at positions 29 to 523 of the family's 1533-position model. The record is from RNAcentral.
AUUGAACGCUGGCGGCAUGCUUUACACAUGCAAGUCGAACGGUAACAGGUUAAGCUGACGAGUGGCGAACGGGUGAGUAAUGCAUCGGAACGUGCCCGAUCGUGGGGGAUAACGCAGCGAAAGCUGCGCUAAUACCGCAUACGAUCUGAGGAUGAAAGCGGGGGACCGUAAGGCCUCGCGCGAUCGGAGCGGCCGAUGUCAGAUUAGGUAGUUGGUGGGGUAGAGGCCCACCAAGCCGACGAUCUGUAGCUGGUCUGAGAGGACGACCAGCCACCCUGGGACUGGGACACGGCCCAGACUCCUACGGGAGGCAGCAGUGGGGAAUUUUGGACAAUGGGCGAAAGCCUGAUCCAGCAAUGCCGCGUGCAGGAAGAAGGCCUUCGGGUUGUAAACUGCUUUUGUACGGAGCGAAAAGGUCCUUUCUAAUACAAGGGGCUCAUGACGGUACCGUAAGAAUAAGCACCGGCUAACUACGUGCCAGCCGCCGCAGUAA